CUCCUAAAGACUAAGCCAUGCAUGCCUCCGAAUAGAAGAGCAAUUCUCUCUGAAUCUGCGAACGGCUCCGCAAACCAGUUGUAAACCACAGCGAGCAAGCCCUGGCCGCGGCGCAAGCCGUGGCUGGGGCGAUAAGGAUAACCCUGGUAAUUCUGAGGCUAAUACAAGAACGUAUACCCCACCUGACCGGUCUCGACUGGGAGGGAGGGGGACGUGUAUCACGCGCAAAGGUGCCGGGAGAGGGUGCACGUUCGGACCGCCAUACCAAACAGUCUUCAGCUUAUCCCGUCCCUUCGGGGGUGGGUGCGGCGGUCGUCUGGGCGGCUCUCGCGUUGUGCUUCUGACCUAUCAACUAGAUGGCAGCAUAAGGGACAUGCUAUGGUUACAACGGGUACAGAGGAUAAGGGUUCGAUCCUGGAGAGUGGGCCUGAGAGAUUGCUCACACUUCUAAGGAAGGCAGCAGGCGCGCAACGUUCCCCUUGGGCAAUGCCCGAGGGCGUUAGGGGACAUAUGAAUGCCUGCCAUUUGGUGGGCAAUUCAAAUGGGUCUGUUCUAAACAGCCUUUCGAGUAACAAUU
This 577-nucleotide ribosomal RNA is filed under the name Physarum sp. sc28835. RNAcentral describes it as "SSU rRNA". It matches the Rfam family "Eukaryotic small subunit ribosomal RNA", at positions 34 to 549 of the family's 1831-position model. The record is from RNAcentral. Lineage: Eukaryota; Evosea; Eumycetozoa; Physariida; Physaraceae.